This is a long non-coding RNA of Pseudophryne corroboree (corroboree frog), 1265 nucleotides long. RefSeq lists it as uncharacterized. Lineage: Eukaryota; Metazoa; Chordata; Amphibia; Anura; Myobatrachidae. The record is from RefSeq and is a predicted model, not a curated record. The transcript is spliced from 9 exons.
CACUCCCCAGCUCCUCCUCUCUGUUCUGCCUCCUGAGUGCCGGCCGGGGACUGGAUGUGCGCUGAGGGGUAGACACGAGCAUGGCUAGGCUGAAGUGAGGAACAGCCCUGCCUGCCUGCACAGUGCACAAAUUAAUCCAGCACACAGACACUCAGUCGCCGUUUUACAAAUAUCGUUGCUCACCAGCACUGUGACAGCAUAGCCACACAGACGUGAAGAGGACCCGGCCGCAGAAGCCACUAAGAUUUAGUGAACAGUCCCGAUAUGCUGUUUGGAGGACUCUAGGGACCAAAAAGAUGUGAGAAACAGGCAGUAGCACAAAGGGGAGGCAAAUGUGCUCCACUGGAGCCUUACCAGAUCAGCACAUACAUGGCGGGAACGGGAGGGGACAACCAGGGCCGGCCCCGUCUGCAUGUCCCCAUUGCUGGGUCUUGUCAGCUUGCCUCUUGCAGUUCUCUUGCCUCUACACCACACUUUGCCUGGACAUCAAGGGGAACGGUAUAAGCUGUUUCACAAAAAAUAGCUGCCUCACCGUCUGGACUUUGGCAUCUCGCUUCUUCUCCACGAGGAAACUCCUGCCUCUUUUCCAGCGAUGCCUUCUGCCCCGCAGCACCUUUUUUCCGCCGUGAUGCUCAUCCUUGGGAGGUCGCCUCGAUCUCCUGUCCAUCAGCCGACGACGCAUGCAACGCUUUCGACGCCAUUCCAAACAGGCUGCUAAGAUUUGGUGAACGGUCCCGAUACGCUGUUUGGAUGACUCUAGGGAACAGAAAGAUGUGAGAAACAGGCAGGCGCACAAAAGGCUGCUAACAUUUGGUGAACGGUCCCGAUACGCUGUUUGGAGGACUCUAGGGAACAGAAAGAUGUGAGAAACAGGCAGUCGCACAAAAGCAUCGCCUCUUGUCCAUCAGCCGACGACGCAUGCAACGCUUUUCACGCCGUUCCAAUCAGCUGCUAAGAUUUGGUGAACAGUCCCGAUACGCUGUUUGGAGGACUCUAGGGAACAGAAAGAUGUGAGAAACAGGCAGUCGCACAAAAGCAUCGCCUCCUGUCCAUCAGCCGACGACGCAUGCAACGCUUUCGACGCUGUUCCAAACAGGCUGCUAAGAUUUGGUGAACGGUCCCAAUACGCUGUUUGGAUGACUCUAGGGAACAGAAAGAUGUGAGAAACAGGCAGUCGCACAAAAGCUGCUAAGAUUUGGUGAACAGUCCCGAUACGCUGUUUGGAGGACUCUAGGGAACAGAAAGAUGUGAGAAACAGGCAGUCU